Molecule: long non-coding RNA, 504 nt
Filed under: Centruroides sculpturatus (bark scorpion)
Lineage: Eukaryota; Metazoa; Arthropoda; Arachnida; Scorpiones; Buthidae
Description: uncharacterized LOC111640906
Source: RNAcentral
UAAGAAUCUUUUUAAAAAAUAUUUAUUGAAUGACUAUCCACAACAGCUUAUACCAAAUGAAAAACAAUCGAAGAAUCCUUUAGAAGUUGCAGAAGUCGUAUAUGAAUUGAUGUGUACGUGCACAGAACGGAAAAGCUACGUUGGAGAAACAGGAAGAAAACUGGAAGUGAGGCUAAAGGAGCAUGAGGCGGCAAUUCGAUUGAACAGAACUGAAUCCCCGUGGCAACAACACUGCAGUAUUAAAAAUUGUCUUAUUGAUCGUAGUAAUAUUAAAAUUUUGUAUAAAGAAAAAAAUUUUGUAAAAAGACGCAUCAUAGAACAUUACUGUAUUAAAGAACAUGCAAAUUGUAUAAAUUUAAAUACAGGAGCAUAUGUCGAUGCAUGCUGGGAUAGCUUGAUGAACUAUAAUAGUACUGGCAACUUAACAGUGUAAUAUCCACUGAAGAGGCUAAAAUAGCGAAAUAUAUAUGGAUAAUAUAAUAAAGUAAGAAAUAGUGAAAAUAA